This is a long non-coding RNA of Sorex araneus (European shrew), 1615 nucleotides long. RefSeq lists it as uncharacterized. NCBI's taxonomy places the organism in Eukaryota, Metazoa, Chordata, Mammalia, Eulipotyphla, Soricidae. The transcript is spliced from 3 exons. The record is from RefSeq and is a predicted model, not a curated record.
GACAACUAUUCAAAUUCAAAGGCUGCAAAGCAGCUUCCAGAAUGCGCCUAAGACUUGAAGAGUUUGUGCAGCCUGGGCUGGUGCAAGAGGCCAAGACCAGAUAAUGCUGCUUCUGGUUUUGCUCCUGGAAAACUUUCAAUUCAACCGACAGUAGCAGGAAGUGAGCUGCCAGUGUGGGCCUGGCUCUCGGUCGCUGUGCAAAGGCCUGGCUGCGGUGACCGCAUAGCUCUCACCCAGAAGGACAGGAUAUCAUGUGACCCACGGCAGGGUGAGCUGAGGACACGGAGGCUUUCCAAACAGAACUGUCCUCCGCCAUCCUCCCAUUUAGAGAAAAGCUUCCUGCAGUGAAGUUCCUACCUGAAAGCAAAUAAAAGGGCAAAACCAGCACAGCCUCAUGGGCUAGAACGUCUCUUUGUGUUAAAGACAUCCAACUAACCUCGGACUGGGCUCUUUUUUUUUUUUUUUAAUUUGCUUUAGGGCCACACCCAGUGGUGCUCAAGGCUUACUUCUGGCUCUGAGCUCAGGAAUUACUCCUGGCAGGGUUCAGGGAACCAUAUGGGGUGCACCAGGAAUCGAAUCUGGGCCCGCUAUGUGCAAGAAAAGAACGGAAGGAGAUGUCUGGGGGAUAAAAAUAGCAGGUGAUGAAAUGAGAACAAACGUGGGGAGAGAUGGGCAUGAUGGAGGUACACAGACUGCAGACGGGCAAGGCUGUACCGCAGCGCUGGGAGAGGAGCCGGCAGCAUCUCUCGGUGCCGGGAAACCCGGGAGCUUCUGAAGACGCCUUUGGGGCGGGGUCAAGAGGGGCCGGGGAGUAAACCUGAAGAGACUCCCACGGGCCGAAGAUGGGAAAUCACGCUCCUCCUAACGGGGUACACAAAUCUGGCUCUGAGCUGACUGGCAGCCAGCAUAAAGAUGGAAACACAAUCUGUUACACGAUUUACAAGGUCCUUAAGAUAAAAAUAAACCAGUUGCUGAAGAGAAACACAAGUAUUCCUGGUCUUGAGAGGAAUUCCUCCUUGGAUCGGAUUCUGAAGAACCUCCAGUAGCUGUUAUUUUUAAAGCAAUGCGGGGGUGGAGGGGGGCUGGGGAGGCAAACUUCCACUUGAUUACUAUCUCGAUCCUUGUUUCAAAAUAUGCUCCUCAGUAAUGAAGCGUUUAGAGCGCUGUCUAGAUGGCUUACAAAACCGUUACCGAAAACUCAUCUCUGAUCAAUGCGGACAUCCGAUUCUCCAGCAGUGCUCUGAGCCUGUGUCAGGAUUCCUUUAAGAAUCACCAGCCCCGGGGCCCAGGAGAGGCAGCUUAGCGGCAGAGCACUGGCCUUGCAAGCCGGAGGCCGGAGAGGCUGUGGGUUCAAUCACCAGCACAGUCCCUCCUCCCAGAUUGAGACCCUGGAACUCUGCAGUUUGGAGCCACAAAGAUGUGUGUGAGGCACCACAACCCAAGGGUGUGUGACUCUGAUCAUCACAACAAGAAGACAGGUUGUUCAGUACGACACAAUACAAAUCAGCAAUCUUGGCUAUACUCCAUUAACGACAUCUCUGCACCACUCACCGCUCUUCCAUGAGUUCCCGGAUGGAGGCAACUGUGGGGCCAGAUCCCAGGUGAGUAUAAUAGG